Molecule: ribosomal RNA, 275 nt
Filed under: uncultured bacterium
Lineage: Bacteria
Description: partial 16S ribosomal RNA
Rfam family: Bacterial small subunit ribosomal RNA
Source: RNAcentral
AAUGAACGCUGGCGGCAUGCCUAACACAUGCAAGUCGAACGAAGCCUUUCGGGCUUAGUGGCGCACGGGUGCGUAACGCGUGGGAAUCUGCCCUUGGGUUCGGAAUAACAGUGGGAAACUACUGCUAAUACCGAAUGAUGUCGUAAGACCAAAGAUUUAUCGCCCAGGGAGUGAGCCCGCGUAGGAUUAGCUAGUUGGUGUGGUAAAGGCGCACCAAGGCGACGAUCCUUAGCUGGCCUUGAGAGGAUGAUCAGCCACACUGGGACGUGAGACAC